ACGAACGCUGGCGGCGUGCUUAACACAUGCAAGUCGAACGGAAAGGCCCUGCUCUUGUGGGGUGCUCGAGUGGCGAACGGGUGAGUAACACGUGAGUAACCUGCCCUUGACUUUGGGAUAACUUCAGGAAACUGGGGCUAAUACCGGAUAGGAGCUCCUGCUGCAUGGUGGGGGUUGGAAAGUUUCGGCGGUUGGGGAUGGACUCGCGGCUUAUCAGCUUGUUGGUGGGGUAGUGGCUUACCAAGGCUUUGACGGGUAGCCGGCCUGAGAGGGUGACCGGCCACAUUGGGACUGAGAUACGGCCCAGACUCCUACGGGAGGCAGCAGUGGGGAAUAUUGCACAAUGGGCGGAAGCCUGAUGCAGCAACGCCGCGUGCGGGAUGACGGCCUACGGGUUGUAAACCGCUUUCGCCUGUGACGAAGCGUGAGUGACGGUAAUGGGUAAAGAAGCACCGGCUAACUACGUG
This 467-nucleotide ribosomal RNA is filed under the name uncultured bacterium. Its description in RNAcentral is "partial 16S ribosomal RNA". It matches the Rfam family "Bacterial small subunit ribosomal RNA", at positions 29 to 507 of the family's 1533-position model. The record is from RNAcentral.